ACUUCAAAACCAGCGGCCACCCCAAAAUACAUAAACACCCACUGGGCUCACUUAUACACUAAGCCACUGGCCCGCGUUUUUCGGUUGGGGCGACCUUGGAGAAAAACAGAUCCUCCAAAAAUUAGACCACCCCUCUAGACUGAGAGCAACCCCUCAACGUGCUAAUAGCAACCAGACCCAAUAUAAUUGAUCUAUGGACCAAGCUACCCCAGGGAUAACAGCGCAAUCUCCCUCGAGAGUCCGUAUCGACGGGGAGGUU
RNAcentral lists this ribosomal RNA (259 nucleotides) under Spodiopsar cineraceus. Its description in RNAcentral is "partial 16S ribosomal RNA". The record is from RNAcentral. Lineage: Eukaryota; Metazoa; Chordata; Aves; Passeriformes; Sturnidae.